AUCGAUGAAGACCGCAGCUAAAUGCGCGUCAGGAUGUGAACUGCAGGACACAUGAACACCGACACGUUGAACGCAUAUUGCGCAUCGCACGACCCAGUGCGAUGUACACAUUUUUGAGUGCC
RNAcentral lists this ribosomal RNA (122 nucleotides) under Anopheles parvus. Its description in RNAcentral is "partial 5.8S ribosomal RNA". It matches the Rfam family "5.8S ribosomal RNA", at positions 32 to 154 of the family's 154-position model. From Rfam's summary of the family: 5.8S ribosomal RNA (5.8S rRNA) is a component of the large subunit of the eukaryotic ribosome. It is transcribed by RNA polymerase I as part of the 45S precursor that also contains 18S and 28S rRNA. Functionally, it is thought that 5.8S rRNA may be involved in ribosome translocation. Lineage: Eukaryota; Metazoa; Arthropoda; Insecta; Diptera; Culicidae. The record is from RNAcentral.